AAAUAAGCUUUGAUAAAGAGGAGUAAAGAUUAAGGAGUAUUAAGAGAGGAAGGUUCACCGGCUGUAAGACCUUCUAUACAAGUGAUCUUGAAGGUAGCUUUGGAGCUUCUUUGCUGAAUUUAGUAGGCAAAGACGGUUUUUCUGAACCGUUAAAGUAUUAAGAGCCUAUAAGGUUAAGCCCUGUAGGAAAAAAGGUGGUACCGCGAGUAUUAUGUCUUCGUCCUUUUA
Molecule: non-coding RNA, 228 nt
Filed under: Clostridiales bacterium
Lineage: Bacteria; Bacillati; Bacillota; Clostridia; Eubacteriales
Description: T-box sequence
Rfam family: T-box leader
About the family: Uncharged tRNA acts as the effector for transcription antitermination of genes in the T-box leader family. T-boxes are found upstream of many aminoacyl-tRNA synthetase genes and some amino acid biosynthetic genes usually in Gram-positive bacteria. The anticodon of a specific tRNA base pairs to a specifier sequence within the T-box motif, and the NCCA acceptor tail of the tRNA base pairs to a conserved bulge in the T-box antiterminator hairpin.
Source: RNAcentral